GAGCACGUAGGUGGGUUUGUAAGUCAGAUGUGAAAGCCUCCUGUUCAACGGGAGAAUUGCAUCUGAAACUGUGAGUCUUGAGUGUAGGAGGGGAGAAUGGAACUUCUGGUGGAGCGGUGAAAUGCGUAGAUAUCAGAGGGAACGCCGGCGGCGAAAGCGAUUCUCUGGCCUAUUACUGACACUCAGUGUGCGAAAGCUAGGGGAGCAAACGGGAUUAGAUACCCCGGUAGUCCUAGCCGUAAACGAUGGGCACUAAGUAGAGGGGU
Molecule: ribosomal RNA, 266 nt
Filed under: uncultured Planctomycetota bacterium
Lineage: Bacteria; Pseudomonadati; Planctomycetota
Description: uncultured planctomycete partial 16S ribosomal RNA
Rfam family: Bacterial small subunit ribosomal RNA
Source: RNAcentral